GGCCGCUGGAAUAUGCAUGAAUUUAUUAUUAAUGUUUUCAAUCAGCCUCAAUUUUUGUGUCUGUUCAAAGUAGCACGUUCUCAAAUCCGACUGAAAGUCUUUCUAAUACAACACAGGGUACCGGUAAAAUAAAUAUAAACUGUACAUCUGUCCAGUGCAUAUAACGUGUUGUCAUUCUCAUAUGCACAUGAUAUUUGUCACUGGACGAAAAACCCUAAUUCGUAAGCAUCCUCCAAUUGGUUCUUUAUUUCUAUUACUUAAUCAUAUGUUGUUUACAAAAAAAAGUAAAAUCACAAAAAUACUGAACUUAGAGGAAAAUCAAUUCGGAAAGUCCAUAAUCACAUGGCAAAAUCAAAUAACAAAACGUAUCAAAAACGAAUGGACAAGAACUGUCAUAUUCCUGACUUGGUACAGGCAUUUUCAAAUGUAGAAAAUGGUGGAUUAAACCUGGUUCUAUAGCGCUAACCCUCUCACUUUAAUGACAGUCUCAUAAAAUUCCGUUAUAUUUACAUUGAUGGCGUUAAAUAAACAGACACAAUAAAUAAAAUAGUCAAAAUAUGGGUACAUCAGUCAUCAUCGUAUAACAAUUUUAAAAGGAACAAUUUUAAAA
RNAcentral lists this long non-coding RNA (610 nucleotides) under Mytilus galloprovincialis (Mediterranean mussel). Lineage: Eukaryota; Metazoa; Mollusca; Bivalvia; Mytilida; Mytilidae. The record is from RNAcentral.